ACUCUUCCUUCCUGUUUGAAAAAUCUCCCUUAUAUUAACUCUUUAGAUUUAUCAUGGAAUGGCUUGAAUGGGAUGAUUCCCUCUUUCAUUUGUUCGCUCACUCACCUUACAUACCUUGAUCUUAGUGUCGACAAAUUCAAUGGAAGCAUUCCUUCCUGCUUGGGCAGUCUUUCUUCUUUAGUUGGGCUUAGUCUUGCUAGCAACCAAUUUAGUGGAAGCAUACCAAAUUCUCUGGGUAAUAUUUCUUCUCUUCAGUUUCCUGAUCUUAGUGGCAAUAAAUUAAGUGGGAGCAUACCGGCUUCUUUGGGUGAUAUAUGUUCUCUUGAGACUCUCGACCUUUACCUGAACCAUUUAAAUGGGAUCAUAUCCACUUCUCUGGGCAAUAUUUCUUCUCUUGAGACUCUUGACCUUUCCCUGAACCAAUUAAGUGGGAGCAUACCAUCUUCUCUAGGUAAUCUUCUUUCUCUUGAGUUUAUAUACCUUAACCAGAAUCAGCUAAGUGGGAGUAUACCGGCUUCUAUAGGUAAUAUCUCUUCUCUAAAGCAUCUGUACCUUUAUGAGAAUCAAUUAAGUGGGAGCAUACCAGCUUCUCUCGGAAAUCUCUCUUUGUUGAGCCAAUUAUACCUUAGAGACAAUAAACUGAGCGGGAACAUUCCAGAAUCCUUGGGCAAUCUCUCUUUACUGGAGUUGCUGAGUCUUAGCAACAACCAAUUAACUGGGACCAUUUCCCCUUCAUUUGCUCAGCUUUCCUCCCUCACUCGCUUCACUGCUGGUGGCAAUCCUUUCAAUGAAACUGUAUCUUCUUCAUCAUUGCCAGCUUCUUUACUUAAACUAUACAUGUCACUGAACCAUCACCAGUCAAUUUCAGAAACCUUCUUUCACAAACUUACAAAACUUAAUUAUUUGUAUUUAGCCAAUUGUGUGCUAAAUAUUAGCACAACCUGGAUUCCAUACUUUCAGUUAAGUGAAAUAAUAUUAGUGUCAUGUAAGAUUGAUGGUGAAAUCCCACCUUGGAUUUCAUCACAGAGCUCGCUUUCUAAACUUGAAUUGGUUAACACCAGUCUUGUUGGAGAGAUUCCCUCUUGGCUAUGGGAAACCAGUCCUCUCUUGCAAUUUGUCAAUCUUUCAAGAAAUCGUUUAGAAGGGAGCCUAUUCUCCAGCUCUUCAGUAUGGAUGCGUCUAGAAAUGCAUUGAGUGGGCACAUGCCAUCAAUUUGGUCUCCUACUAUUGCUGCUCAAUGACAAUUUGUUCAGUGGCAAUAUUUCUUCAGGCUUGGGCAGAUUAUCUCAACUCAAGAUAUUAAAUCUUGCAAACUACUUCUUCAGCGGAGUGAUCCCUCCAAGCUUGUCCAACUGCUCUUCCCUCCGUGUUCUAAAUUUGGGAAACAAUAGUUUGGAGGGAAGCUUACCACAUGAGUUCAGCAAGCUAAGUGAUCUGUUUUCAUUAGUUGUUCAUAGUAAUAACAUAAAACUUCUUUGAAGGUGAAAUACCAACAUUAGUGGAUAUUUCAGAGCUAAGAGUGUUGGUGAUGAAUAACAACAAUUUUAGAGGCUGUAUUCCUUCAGAGAUUGGUCAAUUAAUGAACCUCCAGAUUUUGCUUCUUUCUUCUAAUCAUAUUUUUGGUUCAAUUCCAGACACAGUCGUAUUUUUGCAAUCAAUGGUGAUAGAAAGUCAAGAUGGUUUUGUAUUGUCCACUUCACGACUAUCUUAUGGUUUAGCAUAUCAAGAUGGAUUGGAUAUGACUUCAAAAGGUAGAGAUGAGCACUACCCAUAUAUUCUUCCUACUCUAACAUCCAUAGAUCUCUCAAACAAUGAAUUGGAGGGAGAAGUUGCUUCUAAUAUUGAGAAUUUGAAAGGGUUGAGGCUUUUAAACCUUUCAAUGAACAAUUUGAAUGGGAGCAUUCCAAGUAGUUUGACAAAAAUGAGUCAGCUAGAAUCUUUAGACCUUUCAAGAAAUAAAUUUUCAGGACAAAUCCCUGCAGAUAUUGAAUCUCUAAGUUAUUUGGGCUCUCUAAAUUUAUCAAACAACAAUCUUUCAGGAAAUAUACCACAAGGACAACAUAUAACUGGCACAUUUGGAAAAUCAUCUUACUCAGGCAAUCCAAAUUUAUGGGGAUGUCCCCUACCCAAAAAUUGUUCUUGGCCACAGUUUUCUCCUCCUCCACCAGUUUCAGUUAACAAAGAAAAGAGAAGCACUAAGUAUCCAUGGUAUAAGAUAGCAGUGGUAUUGUCCUAUGGAGUAGCUUCUGGAGGGAUAAUUUCAUUGAUUUUGAUAUGGAAAAGGAAAUACAUCAAUAAAGUUGAUAUUACCUUAAAGUUUUUGUUUCUAUGGAUGAAGAAUUUGACACUAUGAAGAAACAACAACAAUUCAUUAAAAUGCCAAAGGUAUCUGUUUCUGGUUGGGAUUGUUUCUUACUGAAGACAUGUUAGUGUUGUGAGAAACUUAUCGGUCGUGGUCAGUGGUCAUAAAAGCAUUUAUAAUCAUGGUUCUGGGAAAGACCUACCUGCAAUAGAAAGCUCCGGUGCUUCAAUGAAAAAAGGAAAGCUCUGUAAUUUUUAAAAAUUAGCCAUUUCGUCCAUAAAUGUGAAAUCAAGAAUGUGGAACACUUCAUUACCAUUGGCUUUUGUAAUUAAACAAAGACUGAGGAGUUAAUAAUAUGUAAAAUGUUAUAAUUUUGUAUUCAAUGAAAUAGGUAUGAAAUAUUUAUUCCUUCAUUAAAAAGAUCAGAGUUUGGUCUUCUCAGUGUUUUUACAUUGAUGGCUUCCCAUUGCUCAGUGGCUCAUCAUUCUG
Molecule: RNA transcript, 2791 nt
Organism: Cryptomeria japonica (Japanese cedar)
Lineage: Eukaryota; Viridiplantae; Streptophyta; Pinopsida; Cupressales; Cupressaceae
Gene name: leucine-rich repeat protein FLOR 1
Exons: 3
Source: RefSeq, a predicted model, not a curated record